UUUCCGUAGGUGAACCUGCGGAAGGAUCWUUA
RNAcentral lists this ribosomal RNA (32 nucleotides) under Boletus huronensis. RNAcentral's name for it is "partial 18S ribosomal RNA". The record is from RNAcentral. Lineage: Eukaryota; Fungi; Basidiomycota; Agaricomycetes; Boletales; Boletaceae.